CUCCAGGCUGAGGGGAAGCCUCCGCUGGCCAGACACACCUGUGUGGCACUGCCCUGCUGCAACUUUUUGUAUAAUAUAAAAAUCUCUGGUACUUUAAAUCAACGACCAACUCCAAAAGUCCACCGCAGUGAUACAAAGUCAUUAAGUGGCUGUACAAAAACCUCCUGCACUGUCAACAAGCAUCUAUCCACUGAAAACAAUCUCUGCUUAUUCUGAUAUAAAAUAUAUAUUUCUCCUGAUUCAGUGUCCCACGUUGCCUUCAGUGUGUUGAGAGCAGAGAAGUCAUUUCCAUAGAGAGGAGGCUUUGCAUGGUCAGCUGAUCCUUCAGUGAACUGAGAAGGUUUAUAGUCCUGUGAGUUCAACACUGCAGGACUCAGAUCUGUCAGUCAACACAGCAGAAAGCACAACCACCAUGACUCUCAUCACCAUCCUCAUCUGGACGCUGGCCUGCUGCUGUUUUACAGGAUGCAGCAGUCAGGUGACUGUGACUCAGCCUCCAGUACUGACAACUACUCCAGGAUCCACCGUCACUCUGACCUGUAAAACCAGCCAAGAUGUUGAUGCAGACUGUGUUGGUUCUGUUGGUGAAGAUGGUGAUGUUACUUUUGCUGCUGCUGAGUGUCUGCACUGGUAUCAACAGAAAUCUGGACAGACUCCAAAGCUCCUAAUAAACUCUGUAAGCACACGUGAAUCAGGAACACCAGCUCGGUUUAGUGGCAGUGGAAGCGGCUCUGACUUCACUUUGACCAUCAGUGGAGUUCAGGCUGAAGAUGCAGCAGUUUACUACUGUCAGAGUCUACAUGAAAUAAACAGUGCCUAUGUGUUCACACAGUGAUUUGUAGUCGUACAAAAACCUCCUUCAGUCAGACUGCAGAGACACUGAGCUGUUACAGCAGGAACUGACUGCAGCUGCUGAAGAAGAAGAGACUCUGACACAGACCACUGAACACAGAGCUCACACUAACCUCACCAAGCACCAAACAUGCACACACUUUGCAGUUUCUUAGGUUCACCUAAAAGAGUUUUAUAUGCAAUCUAAUUAAACAGUCCUACAAUAAAUCCAACCUUCAUGAAGGUUAAAAUGUUCAGUUUGUUACGUUAGGAUUUAAAUUUGUUUUGGAACCUCUGAGCAGACACAGACAACAGUUGAAGGUUAAGGUUAAGUUGUUCUUUUACUGAAUAUUUUGAGAGUCUUGAGUGGGGGCAAGAGAGGAGAAUGAAGAGGGACUGGAGGACCAGGAGACCUGCAGCAGCCAGGUGAGGGUGGAGGCCUGGGCGUGGUGAUGAGCAGGUGAGUGGAAGGCAGCAG
Lates calcarifer (barramundi perch) is the source of this 1309-nucleotide non-coding RNA. NCBI's taxonomy places the organism in Eukaryota, Metazoa, Chordata, Actinopteri, Centropomidae. The record is from the annotation of a RefSeq genome assembly.